GACGAACGCUGGCGGCGUGCUUAACACAUGCAAGUCGAACGGAAAGGCCCUGCUUUUGUGGGGUGCUCGAGUGGCGAACGGGUGAGUAACACGUGAGUAACCUGCCCUUGACUUUGGGAUAACUUCAGGAAACUGGGGCUAAUACCGGAUAGGAGCUCCUGCUGCAUGGUGGGGGUUGGAAAGUUUCGGCGGUUGGGGAUGGACUCGCGGCUUAUCAGCUUGUUGGUGGGGUAGUGGCUUACCAAGGCUUUGACGGGUAGCCGGCCUGAGAGGGUGACCGGCCACAUUGGGACUGAGAUACGGCCCAGACUCCUACGGGAGGCAGCAGUGGUGAAUAUUGCACAAUGGGCGGAAGCCUGAUGCAGCAACGCCGCGUGCGGGAUGACGGCCUUCGGGUUGUAUACCGCUUUCGCCUGUGACGAAGCGUGAGUGACGGUAAUGGGUAAAGAAGCACCGGCUAACUACGUG
Molecule: ribosomal RNA, 468 nt
Filed under: uncultured bacterium
Lineage: Bacteria
Description: partial 16S ribosomal RNA
Rfam family: Bacterial small subunit ribosomal RNA
Source: RNAcentral